CUAAAAUAUUCUGAAAAACAAUAUCUUACAAUAGAUGUCACUAAGCCAGAUAGGAUCCUUCCCCAGAAACAAAAGGAAAAACCAACCGUGAAAAGAUCUUACCACUUCCUCUGGAAUUCGGAAUCAUCUGAAACACUGCUGGAAAUUGUGGAUUAUUCUUUUCCAGAAGUUUCUGGCAUCCAACAUGGAGUGGCUGAGGCACUUGACUCUCUCCAGAUACUGCAGUUGAGAUCCUGGUACAACUGACAAAAAGCCAGUAAAAAGGUUUUAAAAAAAAUCCUUUUACCAAGAUUCGUGUCCAUCAGAGUGUAACAUCUUCAGCAACGGGUGACCAACCCACAGGUAAGUCUGAGGAUUAAUAGGACUUGCUAAUGUUUUACAGUUUUCAAAGUUCUCAUUAGGAAAGUGCUCUGAUGGCCAUAAAAAUUUGGUCUUCAUCUACCUAUGCUCAGACUAAGAAUCUGCUUUCAUAAAUCCAACGUUUUUCCAAAGAUAUUGUAGGGUAGUAAACAGCUGUUUUCCAGAUCAGGUUAACAUGUCUUUAAUACCAGUUUCAAUUGUAGCUGAUGUUAU
RNAcentral lists this long non-coding RNA (573 nucleotides) under Callithrix jacchus (white-tufted-ear marmoset). RNAcentral describes it as "lncRNA (ENSCJAG00000081304.1)". The record is from RNAcentral. Lineage: Eukaryota; Metazoa; Chordata; Mammalia; Primates; Cebidae.